RNAcentral lists this ribosomal RNA (253 nucleotides) under uncultured bacterium. Its description in RNAcentral is "partial 16S ribosomal RNA". It matches the Rfam family "Bacterial small subunit ribosomal RNA", at positions 524 to 776 of the family's 1533-position model. The record is from RNAcentral.
GACGAACCGUACGAACGUUAUUCGGAAUCACUGGGCGUAAAGCGCACGUAGGCGGACUUUUAAGUCAGGGGUGGAAUCCUGGAGCUCAACUCCAGAACUGCCUUUGAUACUGGAAGUCUUGAGUUCGAGAGAGGUGAGUGGAACUGCGAGUGUAGAGGUGAAAUUCGUAGGUAUUCGCAAGAACACCAGUGGCGAAGGCGGCUCACUGGCUCGAUACUGACGCUGAGGUGCGAAAGCGUGGGGAGCAAACAGG